This is a long non-coding RNA of Cephus cinctus (wheat stem sawfly), 570 nucleotides long. RefSeq lists it as uncharacterized. NCBI's taxonomy places the organism in Eukaryota, Metazoa, Arthropoda, Insecta, Hymenoptera, Cephidae. The transcript has 3 exons. The record is from RefSeq and is a predicted model, not a curated record.
GUGGGUGUCAACUGUAACAGCAGCAACUGGGCAUGGAAAGUUCUGCACCAAUAAAGAGCUAAUUUUAAAGCAUCGACAGGCGAACGGAGUUUGAGCGAUUUUCCAAAAUCAUACGAAGCGCCGCUAAUUUUAUUCCACCAAAUUAUGACUGAUUAAUUUGAAGGCUGAAUGUCACCUGUCAGGUUAAUCAGAAUGUGCCCGAUUCGUCGAUUAGCAUUCGCCGCGAGAAACGCGUGCAGUUACAACCAAUUGCGAAACAGCCUAAUAACAAUGAAUCGUUUAAUUACCACAAGUGGCAAUUCAAUUGAAUUCGCUUAUCUCAGCACAAGUCUUUUUGAUACCGGCGAAUCUCGAGCUUCUCGCUAUAGCGGAAGGAAGUAUUCCAACGGCAUUAAAUUAAACAUCUCCUAUAGGACAAGAAAAAAAGAUCCAGCAAGCAUCUCGUUGAACUUCGAUUUCGGCGUCCUUAUAAUCAAAUCCAUUUACGACUGAAGUAUGACGGUGACUUUGUAACACACUAGAAUCUCCUGGGAAUUCUUCAAUGUCCAGUAUAGCACGGCUGGUAGCUGG